This 547-nucleotide ribosomal RNA is filed under the name uncultured Glomeromycotina. Its description in RNAcentral is "SSU rRNA". It matches the Rfam family "Eukaryotic small subunit ribosomal RNA", at positions 548 to 1098 of the family's 1831-position model. Lineage: Eukaryota; Fungi; Glomeromycota. The record is from RNAcentral.
UUGGAGGGCAAGUCUGGUGCCAGCAGCCGCGGUAAUUCCAGCUCCAAUAGCGUAUAUUAAAGUUGUUGCAGUUAAAAAGCUCGUAGUUGAAUUUCGGGGUUCUACCGUCGGUCGGGCUACCAAGUCUGUACUGGUGUGUAGAAUUUCUACCUUCUGGGGAACCAUCAUGUUAUUAAUUUAGCGUGGUGGGAAACCAGGACCUUUACCUUGAAAAAAUUAGAGUGUUCAAAGCAGGCUUAUGUCUGAAUACAUUAGCAUGGAAUAAUAGAAUAGGACGGUGGUCCUGUUUUGUUGGUUUCUGAAUCACCGUAAUGAUUAAUAGGGAUAGUUGGGGGCAUUAGUAUUCAAUUGUCAGAGGUGAAAUUCUUGGAUUUAUUGAAGACUAACUUCUGCGAAAGCAUUUGCCAAGGAUGUUUUCAUUAAUCAAGAACGAAAGUUAGGGGAUCGAAGACGAUCAGAUACCGUCGUAGUCUUAACCAUAAACUAUGCCGACUAGGGAUCGGACGAUGUUAAAUUAUAUUGACUCGUUCGGCGCCUUACGGGAAAC